UUCACUUCCUCUUGGGAAGACGGACGACUUUUGUGUGCCGCACUUAACUUUUAUUACCCAACACUUUUACCGCUCUCGCUAAUAAGCGGUUUCGAUCAGAGCAAAUUGACACUUCAACAAAAAAGACAAAACUUCAUUGUUUUUUCAGAAAAGGCGAGUGAAGUUGAUAUUAUUGCGCCUAUUGGCUUUAAAAGCGGUAAUGAGUUACAAAUUAUGUCUUACAUGUCUUAUCUUUGCGGCCGAUUGUCCUAUUUGGGUCCCUUUAUACGAGCCGCCAGUGCUAUCCAAAAAUGCUUCCGUUCCGGUUUGCUCCGCAGUGAAACAUUUUUUCUAAACAAGAAAGUUAUUUAUUCUUUACUAGUUAUUA
Zophobas morio is the source of this 367-nucleotide long non-coding RNA. RefSeq lists it as uncharacterized. The record is from RefSeq and is a predicted model, not a curated record. NCBI's taxonomy places the organism in Eukaryota, Metazoa, Arthropoda, Insecta, Coleoptera, Tenebrionidae. The transcript is spliced from 4 exons.